RNAcentral lists this ribosomal RNA (301 nucleotides) under uncultured bacterium. RNAcentral describes it as "partial 16S ribosomal RNA". It matches the Rfam family "Bacterial small subunit ribosomal RNA", at positions 509 to 807 of the family's 1533-position model. The record is from RNAcentral.
CAGUAGCCGCGGGAAUACGUAGGGUGCGAGCGUUAAUCGGAAUUACUGGGCGUAAAGCGUGCGCAGGCGGUUGUGUAAGACAGGUGUGAAAUCCCCGGGCUUAACCUGGGAACUGCGCUUGUGACUGCACAGCUAGAGUACGGCAGAGGGGGGUGGAAUUCCACGUGUAGCAGUGAAAUGCGUAGAGAUGUGGAGGAACACCGAUGGCGAAGGCAGCCCCCUGGGCCAAUACUGACGCUCAUGCACGAAAGCGUGGGGAGCAAACAGGAUUAGAUACCCCCGUAGUCCCUGUCUCUUAUAC